UACGUAGGGUGCAAGCGUUGUCCGGAAUUAUUGGGCGUAAAGAGCUCGUAGGCGGCUGAUCGCGUCGGUUGUGAAAGCUCAGGGCUCAACCCUGAGACGCCAAUCGAUACGGAUCGUCUAGAGGUAGGUAGGGGAAAGUGGAAUUCCUGGUGUAGCGGUGAAAUGCGCAGAUAUCAGGAGGAACACCGGUGGCGAAGGCGGCUUUCUGGGCCUUACCUGACGCUGAGGAGCGAAAGCUGGGGGAGCAAACAGG
RNAcentral lists this ribosomal RNA (253 nucleotides) under uncultured bacterium. RNAcentral's name for it is "partial 16S ribosomal RNA". It matches the Rfam family "Bacterial small subunit ribosomal RNA", at positions 524 to 776 of the family's 1533-position model. The record is from RNAcentral.